RNAcentral lists this ribosomal RNA (1383 nucleotides) under uncultured bacterium. Its description in RNAcentral is "partial 16S ribosomal RNA". It matches the Rfam family "Bacterial small subunit ribosomal RNA". The record is from RNAcentral.
AGAGUUUGAUCCUGGCUCAGGAUGAACGCUGGCGGCGUGCUUAACACAUGCAAGUCGAACGAUGACUUUUGUGCUUGCACAAAAUGAUUAGUGGCGAACGGGUGAGUAACACGUGAGUAACCUGCCCUUAACUUCGGGAUAAGCCUGGGAAACCGGGUCUAAUACCGGAUACGACGGAUUCCCGCAUGGGGGUCCGUGGAAAGCUUGAUGCGGUUUUGGAUGGACUCGCGGCCUAUCAGCUAGUUGGUUGGGGUAAUGGCCCACCAAGGCGACGACGGGUAGCCGGCCUGAGAGGGUGACCGGCCACACUGGGACUGAGACACGGCCCAGACUCCUACGGGAGGCAGCAGUGGGGAAUAUUGCACAAUGGGCGAAAGCCUGAUGCAGCGACGCCGCGUGAGGGACGAAGGCCUUCGGGUUGUAAACCUCUUUCAGCAGGGAAGAAGCGAAAGUGACGGUACCUGCAGAAGAAGCGCCGGCUAACUACGUGCCAGCAGCCGCGGUAAUACGUAGGGCGCAAGCGUUAUCCGGAAUUAUUGGGCGUAAAGAGCUCGUAGGCGGUUUGUCGCGUCUGCUGUGAAAGCCCGGGGCUCAACCCCGGGUCUGCAGUGGGUACGGGCAGACUAGAGUGCAGUAGGGGAGACUGGAAUUCCUAGUGUAGCGGUGAAAUGCGUAGAUAUUAGGAGGAACACCAGUGGCGAAGGCGACUUUCUGGACUGCAACUGACGUUGAGGCACGAAAGUGUGGGGAGCAAACAGGAUUAGAUACCCUGGUAGUCCACACUGUAAACGAUGGAUUCUAGGUGUAGGAGGUAUUAAGCCUUCUGUGCCGUCGCAAACGCAGUAAGUAUCCCACCUGGGGAGUACGACCGCAAGGUUGAAACUCAAAGGAAUUGACGGGGGCCCGCACAAGCAGUGGAGUAUGUGGUUUAAUUCGAAGCAACGCGAAGAACCUUACCAGGGCUUGACAUAUACAGGAAUAAUUAAGAGAUUAAUUAGCUCUUCGGAGUCUGUAUACAGGUGGUGCAUGGUUGUCGUCAGCUCGUGUCGUGAGAUGUUGGGUUAAGUCCCGCAACGAGCGCAACCCCUGUUUCUAGUUGCCAGCAUGUAAAGAUGGGAACUCUAGAGAGACUGCCGUUGAUAAAACGGAGGAAGGUGGGGACGACGUCAAAUCAUCAUGCCCUUUAUGUCCUGGGCUACACACGUACUACAAUGGCUAUAACAAAGGGAAGCGAAAGAGCGAUCUGAAGCGAAACUCAAAAAAGUAGUCACAGUUCGGAUUGUAGGCUGAAAUUCGCCUACAUGAAGCUGGAAUUGCUAGUAAUGGCAGGUCAGCAUACUGCCGUGAAUACGUUCCCGGGCCUUGUACACACCGCCCGUCAAG